UUUAUGGAGAGUUUGAUCCUGGCUCAGAGUGAACGCUGGCGGCGUGCCUAAUACAUGCAAGUCGAACGAUGAAGCUUCUAGCUUGCUAGAGUGCUGAUUAGUGGCGCACGGGUGAGUAACGCAUAGGUCAUGUGCCUCUUAGUUUGGGAUAGCCAUUGGAAACGAUGAUUAAUACCAGAUACUCCCUACGGGGGAAAGAUUUAUCGCUAAGAGAUCAGCCUAUGUCCUAUCAGCUUGUUGGUAAGGUAAUGGCUUACCAAGGCUAUGACGGGUAUCCGGCCUGAGAGGGUGAACGGACACACUGGAACUGAGACACGGUCCAGACUCCUACGGGAGGCAGCAGUAGGGAAUAUUGCUCAAUGGGGGAAACCCUGAAGCAGCAACGCCGCGUGGAGGAUGAAGGUUUUAGGAUUGUAAACUCCUUUUGUUAGAGAAGAUAAUGACGGUAUCUAACGAAUAAGCACCGGCUAACUCCGUGCCAGCAGCCGCGGUAAUACGGAGGGUGCAAGCGUUACUCGGAAUCACUGGGCGUAAAGAGCGCGUAGGCGGGAUAGUCAGUCAGGUGUGAAAUCCUAUGGCUUAACCAUAGAACUGCAUUUGAAACUACUAUUCUAGAGUGUGGGAGAGGUAGGUGGAAUUCUUGGUGUAGGGGUAAAAUCCGUAGAGAUCAAGAGGAAUACUCAUUGCGAAGGCGACCUGCUGGAACAUUACUGACGCUGAUUGCGCGAAAGCGUGGGGAGCAAACAGGAUUAGAUACCCUGGUAGUCCACGCCCUAAACGAUGGAUGCUAGUUGUUGGAGGGCUUAGUCUCUCCAGUAAUGCAGCUAACGCAUUAAGCAUCCCGCCUGGGGAGUACGGUCGCAAGAUUAAAACUCAAAGGAAUAGACGGGGACCCGCACAAGCGGUGGAGCAUGUGGUUUAAUUCGAAGAUACACGAAGAACCUUACCUAGGCUUGACAUUGAGAGAAUCCGCUAGAAAUAGUGGAGUGUCUAGCUUGCUAGACCUUGAAAACAGGUGCUGCACGGCUGUCGUCAGCUCGUGUCGUGAGAUGUUGGGUUAAGUCCCGCAACGAGCGCAACCCCCUUUCUUAGUUGCUAACAGGUCAUGCUGAGAACUCUAAGGAUACUGCCUCCGUAAGGAGGAGGAAGGUGGGGACGACGUCAAGUCAUCAUGGCCCUUACGCCUAGGGCUACACACGUGCUACAAUGGGGUGCACAAAGAGAAGCAAUACUGCGAAGUGGAGCCAAUCUUCAAAACGCCUCUCAGUUCGGAUUGUAGGCUGCAACUCGCCUGCAUGAAGCUGGAAUCGCUAGUAAUCGCAAAUCAGCCAUGUUGCGGUGAAUACGUUCCCGGGUCUUGUACUCACCGCCCGUCACACCAUGGGAGUUGUGUUUGCCUUAAGUCAGGAUGCUAAAUUGGCUACUGCCCACGGCACACACAGCGACUGGGGUGAAGUCGUAACAAGGUAACCGUAGGUGAACCUGCGGUUGGAUCACCUCCUUUCUAGA
RNAcentral lists this ribosomal RNA (1509 nucleotides) under Helicobacter pylori. RNAcentral describes it as "bacterial SSU rRNA". It matches the Rfam family "Bacterial small subunit ribosomal RNA". Lineage: Bacteria; Pseudomonadati; Campylobacterota; Epsilonproteobacteria; Campylobacterales; Helicobacteraceae. The record is from RNAcentral.